GUCCGCGUAGAGUAGUGGUCAUCUCGCCAGAAUCACAUCUUCUGAGGCAGGCUCAGAAUGACGAUGUCUCUGGAUAUCGUGGGUUCGAACCCCACCGUGGGCA
Molecule: non-coding RNA, 103 nt
Organism: Orbilia ellipsospora
Lineage: Eukaryota; Fungi; Ascomycota; Orbiliomycetes; Orbiliales; Orbiliaceae
Source: the annotation of a GenBank genome assembly